UACGUAGGUGGCAAGCGUUGUCCGGAUUUAUUGGGUUUAAAGGGUGCGUAGGCGGUUUUGUAAGUCAGUGGUGAAAUACUCCAGCUUAACUGGAGGGGUGCCAAUGAUACUGCAGAACUUGAGUACAGAUGAGGUAGGCGGAAUUGACGGUGUAGCGGUGAAAUGCAUAGAUAUCGUCAAGAACACCGAUAGCGAAGGCAGCUUACUGGGCUGUAACUGACGAUGAGGCACGAAAGUGUGGGGAUCAAACAGG
This 253-nucleotide ribosomal RNA is filed under the name uncultured bacterium. Its description in RNAcentral is "partial 16S ribosomal RNA". It matches the Rfam family "Bacterial small subunit ribosomal RNA", at positions 524 to 776 of the family's 1533-position model. The record is from RNAcentral.